CUCCUAAAUCAACAACAUCAGCAAAAAUACUCAAAGGGGCUAAAAGUGUAAGGCUAGGAAUUGAAUUCAACCCCAACUGAAAUGGAAAACAGCUCCAAAUAUACACUGUUUUAGGUGGAAACCCCAAGAUUUUAGGACUUGGAUUUGACUUGGAGUAAUUAAAACAAUAUGCUAAAGUAUUAGCUAUGAAAAUCAUGUAACUGAUACAAAAACCAGCUUGUGAUAACACAAUCAUAGCAUCUACAGCAAACCUACCAACAGUUCCACAAACAGCAAAUCCCAAAUCACCAAAAGAUGAGAUUUCUGAAGUUUUAAGAUCGGAUUCAAUUUUUCUUCUUGAAAAUACAAGAAGCAUCAUACAAUAAUAAGUUAAAAAGGCUACUGAAAAUAGCAUAAUAGCACCCAUUAUCCAUCCUGUUCUUUUAAAAGUAUAAGGAAGGCCAAGAACUCCAGCUCCAACUAUAGCUAUAAAUACAUUGGCAAAAGUUUUGGAUGGUGAAGAAAGGUGUUGAUUUUUGGCUAAAAGGGGUGUAUCUUCUCUUGGGAUUUGUAAAACAUGAGAGGAUGAACUUGCUUUAUUAUUUUUGUCAAACCCCAUUUGGUAUAAUCUUUAAAUUCUUAAUCAAGAAUCACAACUUCUCUUGGGAUUUGUAAAACAUGGGAGGAUGAACUUGCUUUAUUAUUUUUCUCAAACCCCAUUUGGGAAAAUCUUAAUCAAGAAUCACAAUAUAAGGCAAAAAUCAGAUAAAGAUCAAAACUUUAUUUCAAGAUUACCUCAAAUUUGAGUGAAAAUAGUGAAUAUGUGUUUUUGUUUUGUUUUGGGAAAGGGGAAAAAGCUUUGAACUUUGCUUAUGGUUUUUGCCUUUAAAAUCAAGAAUCUCAGUACAAGUGCAACAAUCAGAUAAAGAUAAAAAAAUAAAUUCAAGAAUACCUCAAAUUUGACUGAAAAUAGUGAAUAUAUGUUUUUUUUUGGAAGAGGGAAAAAAGUUUUGAAUUUUGCUUAUGGAUUUUGCCUCUGGUAAAUUAAUCGAGAAUCUCGAUACAAGUGCAAAAACCAGAGAAAAAUCAAAACUUUUUUUAUCAAGAUUACCUCAAAUUUGGGUGAAAAUAGUGAAUAUGUGUUUUUUGAAAAGGGGAAAAAGUUUUGAAAUUUGUUUAUGGUUGUUGCCUCUGCUAAAUUAAUCAGGAACCUCAAUUCAAGGGCAAAAACCAGAGAAAAAUCAAAACUCCAAUAUCAAAAUUCAAUCAAUUAGUGAAUAGUAUGUGUUUUUUGGAAAGGGGAAAAAGCUUUGAAUUUUGAUUAUGGUUUUGCUUCUGCCAGGAUUCAGGAGUUUAGAAAGAGAUAUAACGGUGUCAAAUCUUAAAAUGGCUUUAGGUAAAACUUCCAAAAAGGACAAAACAUGAAAGUGACAAUUAAGCAAUAUUUAUAUUUGAAUAAUAUGAAGUUUACAGUUCGUACACGUCUCUUUUUUG
RNAcentral lists this long non-coding RNA (1473 nucleotides) under Nicotiana benthamiana. RNAcentral's name for it is "long non-coding RNA (NBEN_LNC004539)". Lineage: Eukaryota; Viridiplantae; Streptophyta; Magnoliopsida; Solanales; Solanaceae. The record is from RNAcentral.